CGCUGGUUAUUAAUACACACUGUAGGGUCCAACACCUCCUCCGUUCUCCCUCUCUCUCUCUCUCUCACCUAUUGUCACGUUUCUGUUGAUCAGUGGAAAAUACUUUUAACUGAAGUCAGUUCUUCUCUCCAUCUGUCAGACCAGAGCAACCAUGUCAGACAAUGAAGAGGUUGAAGAGUUUGAGGAGCAGAAUGGUACGUUCUGUGUGUGUGUGUGUGUUUGCAUGUCUUUGUGUGUGUUUGUGUGUGUGUGUGUCUUUCUGUGUGUGUGUGUCUGUGUCAAAUCAAAUCAAAUCAUAUUGUAUUGGUCACAUACACAUGGUUAGCAGAUGUUAUUGGGAGUGUAGCGAAAAUGCUUGUGCUUUUAGUUCCGACACUGCAGUAAUAACCAACAAGUAAUCUAACAAUUCCACAGGAGCUACCUAAUACAUACAAUCUAAGUAAAGGGAUGGAAAAAUAUAUGCACAUAUAAAUAUAUGGAUGGGCCAUGACUGACCGGCAUAGACGAGAUGCAAUAGAUGGGAUAAAAUACAGUAUAUACAUCUGAGAUGAGUAAUGCAAAUAUGUAAACAGCAUUAUUAAAGUGGCAUUGAUAAAGUGACGAGUGAUCCAUUUGUUAGAGUGGCCAAUGAUUUGACUCUGUAUGUAGGCAGCAGCCUCUCUGUCUUAGUGAUUGAUGGCUGUUUAACAGUCUGAUGGCCUUGAGAUAGAAGCUGUUUUUCAGUCUCUCGGUCUCAGCUUUGAUGCACCUGUACUGACCUCGCCUUCUGGAUGGUGGUGAGGUGAACAGGCAGUGGCUCGGGUGGAUGUUGUCCUUGAUGGUCUUUUUGGCGUCCCUGUGACAUCGGGUGCUGUAGGUGUCCUGUAGGGAAGAUAGUUUGCCCCCGGUGAUGCGUUGUGCAGACUGCACUACCCUCUGGAGAGCCCUGCGGUUGUGGGCAGUGAAGUUACCGUACCAGGCGGUGAUACAGCCGACAGGACGCUCUAAAAUGUGAAGUUUGUGAGGGUUUUAGGUGACAAGCCACAUUUCUUCAUCCUUCUGAGGAUGAGGAGACGCUGCUGCGCCUUCUUCACCACACUGUAUGAGUGGACCAUUUCAGUUUGUCCGUGAUGUGUAUGCCGAGGAACUUGAAACUUUCCACCCUCUCCACUACUGUCCCUUCGAUGUGGACUGGGAGGGGGGGGGGUCACCCAGUGCUGUUUCUACAAUUAUCUCCUUUGUUUUGUUGACGUUCAGUGAGAGGUUGUUUUCCUGACACCACACUCCGAGUGCCCUCACCUCCUCCCUGUAGGCCGUCUAGUCGUUGUUGGUGAUCAAGCCUAUUACUGUUGUGUUGUCUGCAAACUUGAUGAUCGAGUUGGAAGCGUGCAUGGCCACGCAGCUAUGGGUGAACAGGGAGUACAGGAGGGGGCUGAGCAUGCAUCCGUAUGGGGCCCCAGUGUUGAGGAUCAGUGAAGUGGAGAUAUUGUUUCCUACCUUCACCACCUGGGGGCGGCCCGUCAGGAAGUCCAGGACCCAAUCGCACAGGGAGGGGUUGAGACCAAGGGCCUCCAGCUUAAUGAUGAGCUUGGAGGGUACUAUGGUGUUGAAUGCUGAGCUGUAGUCAAUGAACAGCAUUCUUACAUAGGUAUUCCUCUUGUCCAGAUGGGAUAGGGCAGUGUGCAGUGUGAUGAUGAUUGCAUUGUCUGUAGACCUGUUUGACCUGUUGGGGCGGUAUACAAAUUGGAGUGGGUCUAGACCAGGGGUGGGCAACUCCAGUCCUCGAGGGCCUGAUUGGUGUCACACUUUUUCUCCAUCCCAAGCAAACACAGCUGAUUAAUCAAAUUGUAUUCUAAACUGAAGAUCAUGAUUAGGUGAUUAUUGGAGCCAGGUGUGUUAGCUGGGGCUGGGCAAAACUGUGACACCAAUCAGGCCCUCGAGGACUGGAAUUGCCCACCCCUGGUCUAGGGUGACAGGAAAGGUGGAGGUGAUAUGAUCCUUGACUAGUCUCUCAAAGCACUUCAUGAUGUCAAAGUGAGUGCAACGGGGCAAUAGUCAUUCAGUUCUGUUACCUUUUCCUUCUUGGGUACAGGAACAAUGGUGUCCAUCUUGAAGCAUGUGGGGACAGCAGACUGGGAUAGGGAGAGAUUGAAUAUGCCCAUAAACACCCCAGCCAGCUGGUCUGCGCAAGCAAUAUUAUUAUCUGAGGCUACCCGGAACGCGUCCCAGUCCGCGUGAUCAAAACAAUCUGAAGCGUGGAUUCCGAUUGGUCAGACCAGCGUUGAAUGAUCUUAGUACAUUCUGUUUGAGGUCCUGCCUAUAGGAGGGGAGAAGCAAAAUGGAGUCGUGGUCGGAUUUGCCGAAUAGAGGGCAGGGGAGGGCCUUGUAUGCAUCGCAGAAGUUUGAGUAGCAGGGAUCCAGUGCUUUGCUAGCCCGUGUACCACAAUCGAUAUGCUGAUAGAAUUUAGGUAGGCUGUAUCUCAAAUUUGCUUUUUUUAAAUCCCCAGCUAAAAUACAUGUAGUCUCCGGGUAUAUGGUUUCCAGUUUGACUAGAGUCCAGUGGAGUUCCUUAGGGGCCGUCGCGGUAUCUGCUUGGGGGGGGUAUACACGGCUGUGACAAUAACCAACGAAAAUUCUCUUGGGUGAUAAUACGGACGGCAUUUGAUUGUGAGGAAUUCUAGGUCCGGUGAACAGAAGGACUUGAGUUCCUGUAUGUUGUUACAAUUACACCAUGAGUCGUUAAUCAUGAAACAUACACCCCUGCCAUUCUUCUUCCCUGAAAGAUGUUUAUUCCUGUCAGAGCAACGCACAAAGAAUCUGGUGGCUGUACCGACUCUGACAGCCUGUCCCCAGAGAGCCAUGUUUCCAGAGUAUGUUACAAUCCCGAAUGUCUCUCUGGAAAGAAACCCUUGCACUAAUUUCGUCUACCUUGUUAUCUAGAGACUGGACAUUAGCGAGUAAUACACUGGGAAGCGGUGGGUGGUGUGCGCGCCUCCGAAGUCUGCCCAGAAGGCUGCUCCAUUUACCUGGUUGUUUUGGGUCAGCCUCUGAAAACAGU
Molecule: long non-coding RNA, 3037 nt
Organism: Salvelinus fontinalis (brook trout)
Lineage: Eukaryota; Metazoa; Chordata; Actinopteri; Salmoniformes; Salmonidae
Exons: 3
Source: RefSeq, a predicted model, not a curated record